This 570-nucleotide long non-coding RNA is filed under the name Androctonus crassicauda. The stretch from base 1 to 177 matches the Rfam family "U2 spliceosomal RNA". Lineage: Eukaryota; Metazoa; Arthropoda; Arachnida; Scorpiones; Buthidae. The record is from RNAcentral.
AUUGGCUAAAAUUUAUGAGGGAGUAUCUGUUCUUAUCAGCUUAAUAUCUGAUACGGCUUCCAUCGGAAGCCACGAUAUUAAACUGAUUUUUGGAACAGGACGGCUGCUCGGAGCUCGCUCCGACACCGUCACGGGUCGGCCCAGUAUUGCAGUACUUCUGGGAUCGGCCCACUCUUUUUAAAAUCAAAAAAUAGAUGAAAAUUGUAUUGUAUUAACAAAUUAAAAAUUAUUUUCAGAAAAAUAAUGUUUCUUUUGUAAAUACAUCGAAACCGAAACUUAUACGAUCUUCUACAGCUCUAAAUUCUUGAUUUUCCAGAAACCAACGACCAUACGAGCAACCGCGAUGGCGGAAUUAAUCAAAUUAAAGAAACCAUCUGCCGUUUCAACGAAAAACAGGAAUAGGAAAGAAAACAGCAAAGGGAAAAGUCCAGAAUGUGACGGCAAUUUGCAAACACCAGCCAGAAGAAUCGCGAAAAAGCAACGAGCAUACGAGCAAAGAAACCAUCUGCCAUUUCAAACACCAGCCAGAAGAAUCGCGAAAUUUUGGUGUUUCCCGGAAGGCAGCAGUUU